CACAGAGUUAGCCGGUGCUUAUUCUGUCGGUAACGUCAAAACAGCAAGGUAUUAACUUACUGCCCUUCCUCCCAACUUAAAGUGCUUUACAAUCCGAAGACCUUCUUCACACACGCGGCAUGGCUGGAUCAGGCUUUCGCCCAUUGUCCAAUAUUCCCCA
Molecule: ribosomal RNA, 160 nt
Filed under: uncultured bacterium
Lineage: Bacteria
Description: partial 16S ribosomal RNA
Source: RNAcentral